UACGAAGGGGGCUAGCGUUGUUCGGAAUCACUGGGCGUAAAGCGCACGUAGGCGGAUCUUUAAGUCAGGGGUGAAAUCCCGAGGCUCAACCUCGGAACUGCCUUUGAUACUGGGGAUCUCGAGUCCGGGAGAGGUGAGUGGAACUGCGAGUGUAGAGGUGAAAUUCGUAGAUAUUCGCAAGAACACCAGUGGCGAAGGCGGCUCACUGGCCCGGAACUGACGCUGAGGUGCGAAAGCUAGGGGAGCGAACGGG
Molecule: ribosomal RNA, 253 nt
Filed under: uncultured bacterium
Lineage: Bacteria
Description: partial 16S ribosomal RNA
Rfam family: Bacterial small subunit ribosomal RNA
Source: RNAcentral